UCUCUCUCUCUCUCUCUCUCUCUCAUGAUCAUGCUCUUCUCUGAUCGAAAUCUAAAUAAAGAAAAAUCGAAGUAAUUUUGUUGAUAUGGAGAGUACAGAUUCGUCGACGGGUUCUCAAUUACUUCAGCUCCCGCCGGGAUUCCGCUUCCACCCCACCGACGAAGAGUUGGUGGUUCACUACCUCAAGAAAAGAGCUGCCUCUACGCCUCUUCCGGUGGCGAUCAUCGCCGAAAUAGACCUCUACAAGUUCGAUCCAUGGGAGCUUCCAGCUAAGGCAACGUUUGGGGAGCAAGAGUGGUACUUCUUUAGCCCGAGGGAUCGGAAGUACCCGAACGGAGCUAGACCUAACCGGGCGGCGAAUUCUGGGUACUGGAAAGCUACCGGAACUGAUAAACCGGUGAUGACGUCAGGUGGGACGCAGAAAGUUGGUGUGAAGAAGGCACUGGUUUUUUAUGGAGGGAAGCCACCGAAAGGGGUUAAGACAAAUUGGAUCAUGCAUGAAUAUCGAUUAACUGAUGGUAAAACAAUCUCGAAACCCCAUGGAUGUGAUCCCACCAAACAAAAAGGUUCCUUAAGGUUAGAUGAUUGGGUUUUGUGUCGAAUCUACAAGAAGAACAAUCUACAGAGACCGAUGGAUAGCGAUGGUAGUGAUCAUCUUCACAACAUGAACGGGAUGUUGUCGUCUAUACCUCCGUCUAUCUCGCUCGCCGGCGGCCACCAAGGAACAAUCGUGAAGCAGACUGCAGGUGUGGGGUAUAAUGCAAUGAUGGAGAAUCAUGAACAUAACCUCAUGUUUGAUGCUAGAAUAAACUCAAACGACACCGAUACAAACACCUCCAAUCUCCUUCCGAUGAAGAGAUCCAUGCCGGGUCUUUUCUGGAACGAAGACGCCGGUGCCGGCGCCGGCAACACAGGAAAUUCAACAUCCACGUACACGAAAAGGUUUCUCACCGAAAGUAAUAGUGAUGUUAGUGUCAUGGCCACACGAAACAACGAGGAAAACAGCGGUUCCAUUGCAAGUUUACUAAGCCAGCUACCACAAACACAACAAAUGCAACCGCAAGCAAUGUUGGGGUCUCUUGAAGACGGCGUUUUCCGGCAACCAUAUCAGUUACCGGGCAUAAAUUGGUACUCUUAGAUCAGUAAUUUUGGAGAGUGGGUAUGAUUCCAAAAAGGAAAAAAACGAUAAAAGUGAGACGCCCCCAUCUUCUUUUCCAUGAGCCACUACAUAAACCCUAAAAGAAUAAAUUGUAGUGUGGCGAUGGUAUAAGUGAUGGAGGUGACAGUGAUAGGGUUGGUUGGUACUAUCAAAGGUGGUGGUAGUGUCGAUGGUGGUUGUGGUGGUGGGAUGGUGGCGGAAGAGAAAGAAACGGGCGACGCAAUAUAACCAUUUAUGAUUAUAACAGGUCCGUCGUGCCGGUACACCGAAAAGUUAGAGUAGCAGAUGUAGAAUAUGUGGCUGAGUUUAAAUCUC
Molecule: non-coding RNA, 1474 nt
Organism: Lactuca sativa (garden lettuce)
Lineage: Eukaryota; Viridiplantae; Streptophyta; Magnoliopsida; Asterales; Asteraceae
Source: RefSeq, a predicted model, not a curated record